GGGGAUGUGGCUUAAGUGGUAGUGUGCUCGCUUGGCAUGCGUGAGGCACUGAGUUCAAUUCUCAGCACCACA
This 72-nucleotide transfer RNA is filed under the name Marmota monax (woodchuck). Its description in RNAcentral is "tRNA.Ala". It matches the Rfam family "tRNA". From Rfam's summary of the family: Transfer RNA (tRNA) molecules are approximately 80 nucleotides in length. Lineage: Eukaryota; Metazoa; Chordata; Mammalia; Rodentia; Sciuridae. The record is from RNAcentral.